This 301-nucleotide ribosomal RNA is filed under the name uncultured bacterium. RNAcentral's name for it is "partial 16S ribosomal RNA". It matches the Rfam family "Bacterial small subunit ribosomal RNA", at positions 509 to 807 of the family's 1533-position model. The record is from RNAcentral.
CAGUAGCCGCGGUAAAACGUAGGGUGCGAGCGUUAAUCGGAAUUACUGGGCGUAAAGCGUGCGCAGGCGGUUUUGUAAGACAGGCGUGAAAUCCCCGGGCUCAACCUGGGAAUGGCGCUUGUGACUGCAAAGCUAGAGUGCGGCGGAGGGGGAUGGAAUUCCGCGUGUAGCAGUGAAAUGCGUAGAUAUGCGGAGGAACACCGAUGGCGAAGGCAAUCCCCUGGGCCUGCACUGACGCUCAUGCACGAAAGCGUGGGGAGCAAACAGGAUUAGAUACCCCCGUAGUCCCUGUCUCUUAUAC